Molecule: ribosomal RNA, 114 nt
Filed under: Ochotona princeps (American pika)
Lineage: Eukaryota; Metazoa; Chordata; Mammalia; Lagomorpha; Ochotonidae
Source: RNAcentral
GUCUACGGCCAUACCACCCUGAACGCCCCCGAUCUUGUCUGAUCUCGGAAGCUAAGCAGGGUCGGGCCUGGUUAGUUCUUGGAUGGAAGAGUGUCUGAGUUCCAGUACUAGCUC